This 253-nucleotide ribosomal RNA is filed under the name uncultured bacterium. RNAcentral's name for it is "partial 16S ribosomal RNA". It matches the Rfam family "Bacterial small subunit ribosomal RNA", at positions 524 to 776 of the family's 1533-position model. The record is from RNAcentral.
UACGAAGGGGGCUAGCGUUGCUCGGAUUGACUGGGCGUAAAGGGCGCGUAGGCGGUUUGCAUAGUCAGACGUGAAAUUCCUGGGCUUAACCUGGGGGCUGCGUUUGAUACAUGCAGGCUUGAGUUCGGAAGAGGGUCGUGGAAUUCCCAGUGUAGAGGUGAAAUUCGUAGAUAUCGGUAGGAACACCAGUGGCGAAGGCGGUUUCCUGGAGCUAACUUGACGCUGAGACGCGAAAGCUGGGGGAGCAAACGGG